Molecule: long non-coding RNA, 95 nt
Organism: Etheostoma cragini (Arkansas darter)
Lineage: Eukaryota; Metazoa; Chordata; Actinopteri; Perciformes; Percidae
Exons: 3
Source: RefSeq, a predicted model, not a curated record
UUUGGGCUGAGUUAAAUCACGGGUCAAUUAUGACCCACAAACGCAAAAGAUGUGUGCAGCUUUCUAACACAUUACCAAGGUUAAUGAUAAAGACA